RNAcentral lists this ribosomal RNA (460 nucleotides) under uncultured bacterium. RNAcentral describes it as "partial 16S ribosomal RNA". It matches the Rfam family "Bacterial small subunit ribosomal RNA", at positions 338 to 795 of the family's 1533-position model. The record is from RNAcentral.
CCUACGGGAGGCAGCAGUGAGGAAUAUUGGUCAAUGGGCGCGAGCCUGAACCAGCCAAGUCGCGUGAGGGAGGACGGCCCUACGGGUUGUAAACCUCUUUUGCCGGGGAGCAACGGGCGUCACGUGUGGCGCCACUGAGUGUACCCGGAGAAAAAGCAUCGGCUAACUCCGUGCAAGCAGCCGCGGUAAUACGGAGGAUGCGAGCGUUAUCCGGUUUUAUUGGGUUUAAGGGGUGCGUAGGCGGAUCGUUAAGCCAGUGGUCAAAUUGAGGGGCUCAACCCCUUCCCGCCAUUGAAACUGGCGUUCUUGAGUGGGCGAGAGGUAUGCGGAAUGCGUGGUGUAGCGGUGAAAUGCAUAGAUAUCACGCAGAACUCCGAUUGCGAAGGCAGCAUACCGGCGCCCAACUGACGCUGAAGCACGAAAGCGUGGGUAUCGAACAGGAUUAGAUACCCUUGUAGUC